UGACAGACAGGUGGUGUGGUUCCAAGACCAGGAAGCGAACCCGGGCCGCUGAAGUGUUCUACAGAUCCUGAUUGAGUAGUGAUUGCUGUGUUCCAGGCUUUAGUCUAGGCUGUUGCCAUACGUCAGUGCAUGGAACAGAUAAAGAUCCCUACAUUCUAGCAGGAAAAGACAAGCACCAUCUCUCCCGGCCGCUGGUCUCUACACCACGUCGCCCUGUUCCUGCUGAGUCAGGUCGGAACAGCCUUGCCUAGGAAAACUGGGAGUUCAAACACAGUAUAUCCAGGUUUGGCAAAAGCUGUGAAUGGUAUUUUCAACUAUAAGACUCAGACGACACCCAUGGAAUCUAAAGCAGAACAAGGCUCUCAACAGCGGACGUUCGGCACCCAGGGUGUGUGACAAAACUGUCAGUGCUUCUAUUUCAGUGUAUGUCUCCUUAUCCUCUCAAAAUGUCAAUCUGUGCAUGUUUAUAAUGCACAUGGAUGUCAGUCUAGUAGAGCUCAUAUGUGCCAGUAAGAAGUCUGUCCUGCUGGGAUGUAAGCUCAGAGACGGCGGGAAAGCAGAGUGGAGAUUAACAGCACUUGCUUCCUAACCUGAUAGGCUUGCAUUAGAUUCUCACCUCUCACACUUACUGCCUGUGUGAUUCUAGGCAGGUUGUGUAACCUCUCUGUGCUGCCCUAUCCCCAUCUGUGGACGGGUAACGAUCAGACAACACGUGCCUCACAGGGUUCCUGGAAGAGCAGAUUGAGUGGCCACUGUAUGCACUCAGGGCAUGGUUUACACGCAGAGUGUCAGUCCUUGACGACUGGACAUGGUCACAUGGAAACCUUGGAGCAACAGACCUAAACUCAGGGGUUCCUUCACCGAGAGAACAGGUUAGAAGUGUGUUACGGCCUGAGAAGUUUCAGCGAUCACGUAUUGUUCAGGCAAGCCUGUUCAUUUGAAAGAACAUAGACCACAAAAUCACUUUCCUGGGACCAGUGGACUAGCGUGAGUUGUACACAGUGUUCAUUUUAGUUCCAUUUAAAAGAUUAUUUUCACUUAAUGCAGGAAGAAAUUAAAUGCCUAAGUAGGUAACUCCAGGAGCCCUGCGGGCAACAGGGUUUUUUGCAUAUUUUUCAUGAUUGAAGUUUGUUGAUUUUCAACGUUAUUGCAAAACUCAUCCCAUUAGAAAGAAUUUUUUAUUUUUGUAAAGAGGUAAAAUAAUUGACAAUCAUCUACUUACUCAACAAUUAUUGUGCAUUGAAUUUGUGUCUGUACAUAUAUAUAAUGAGCAAACGCUCACUAAUAAUAAAUACUGGAAUCCUACAGAUGGUCCUAAAAGGACUGAUUAUUGAUAACUUGGUCUAGAAUUAGAGAAUAAACAACAGAAUUCUAAAAAAAUCAGUGAGAAAGUAAGCUUUUAUUCUCAGGAAUGUGGUCUCAUCUCACUGGGGUUUAUAGGUCUUUUCAGUCUUUUUAGGAGAGCAGGAUUUUUUCUCCCUAAAGCUUUGGUGAAGAUCAAAAUACAUUUUAAAAGGUUUUUUUGUCUUGUUUUUUGUUUCUCGGUUGAGGCUGUGUUGACCCAAUGCCCAGUCACUUGGUUCAGAGAAACCUCAGGAAACCUGAGUGGCGAGAUGCCUGGAUGAUAGUUUUGUUAUGUUCUCACCAUGGAAUCCUGAAAGGAAAGGAUGGAAAGAAAAAGAAAGGCAGAGAGUGGAGUUUGAAUGCUUAUGACAAUCUACCUGACACUGGACUUUCAUCAAGUCAAUAUGUGACUUUAGCAGAAAUGUAUCUUAAAGAAGCAUAUAGUGAAACAUCAGAUCUAAUGAGAUAUUCAUAAAGGGGUCAACAUGCUCAACAACAACGUGUUAAGCACCUGCUACGUACAAGACGUUGCAAAAUUCUGGGACUGAGGUUGGAAGAGAUGAAAAGCAAUGAGGGAUACAGAUGAACGAGACAUGGUCUUUCUCCCCAAGGAGCUUCCGGUCUGGGCAGGGAGAUACGCUUCUACAGGGUAAGCAUGGAAAAUAUGGAAAAGCUGUGGGACAGCAGAGAGAAGACGCCUGGAGGUGGAUCUUAGGCUUAGAUUCAGAAUAAGUUUCCCUUACUUACUGGCCUAGACUAAGUACAGGGCAUCAAGUACAGGACACCCAGUUAAAUGUGAAUUUUAAAUAAACAAUGAAUAAUUUUUCACUAUAAGUAUACCCCAUUGCGUGGGACAUGCUUACACUAAAAAAUUACUUUUUUAAAAAAUCUGAAAUUAAAAUUUAUCAGAGCAUCUGUAUUUUUAUUUGCUAAAUCUGGCAACCGUACCCUAGGCAAGCCCAUCCACCCUUUCCUGCGCCACUCUGGAGGCUCCUGGAGGCUGACCCCUGUGAUCUCUAUUUCCUGUGCUCUCCUACCAGUCGGCUUCUUGUUGAGUCAGCCUGUGGGAGGGCCUGAGGGGAGGGCAAACUGCAGGAGGAAAGAGAGGCCGGGUUCUCUUCCUUGCCUCUUCUGUGCCUCAGCAAAGCGUCUCUGGUAAUAGUAUAUUCCCGUGCCUACAGCUCAUGCCUGACAGCUCCUCCUGCAUGGUUUCAGCUCUCCUGGGGCUCUGGUCACACGUUUUCCUCCCAUUGCUCCUCCAGGCUUGGGAGUAGCAACAACUUCCCUUUGCUGCUCUUCUCUGGGUGCCUCAGCAUCCCUUUUGGUUAUCCUAACUGUGCCCGUAUCCCUGUAGGUAGUAUAUUAUCAUCUUCAUUGGAGCCACUGAGUUAAAUUCUCUUUCCUUCCUGGACCCUGAUUGGUAAAGCACGUCUCUUUAACUUCUUUGAGCCUCAUCUCUUUAUUUAUAAAAUGAGGAGUAAUUGGCUCCAAGGCUCAGGAGUUAGAGCGCUGGUCUUAUAAAGUGAGGAGAGGGAUGCUUCCUUCAUGCAUUUCUUUGGUAAGGAGGUUAUGCAUGUGGAUAUCAUGGACUGGGGGUGGGGGCUCUAACAUUUGAAUUGAUAUUUAGCACAUCGUAUCAACACUUUCCGGCUCUGGUAUGGCUGAGAAGAUCUACAGAUAACAACUCUAAACUCUUGCCCAAAUAUUAAAAUCAACUAUAUGAAGGAAUUGGAUAAUGACCCAAAGCAGGCAGAUACUGGAGCAGAGUUAACCAGUGGAUGAGGGGAACAGCA
This is a long non-coding RNA of Equus quagga, 3137 nucleotides long. RefSeq lists it as uncharacterized. The record is from RefSeq and is a predicted model, not a curated record. The transcript has 3 exons. NCBI's taxonomy places the organism in Eukaryota, Metazoa, Chordata, Mammalia, Perissodactyla, Equidae.